AUGAAGAGAGCUUCCGUUUCUUCUGCCAUGGCAAUCCUAGUUAUCUUAUUCAUAUGCUACUCCCUGCCAUGCUCAGCCGCCGACCAAGCUCAUACGGAAGGAAACCAUGUUGGAGUGAGUCCUCCGUCGCCGUGGGUAGCGCCGGGCCCACAUAAUCAAGGUCGUGGACGCUCCAGCACCCCACCGCCAGUGCCGCACCGCAAGAACUUACAGUUACAGCAGGCUGUUCUUCAAGUGCCACUGAUGCCAUGA
RNAcentral lists this ribosomal RNA (252 nucleotides) under Triticum aestivum (bread wheat). Its description in RNAcentral is "partial small subunit ribosomal RNA". The record is from RNAcentral. Lineage: Eukaryota; Viridiplantae; Streptophyta; Magnoliopsida; Poales; Poaceae.